RNAcentral lists this ribosomal RNA (578 nucleotides) under Bacillus pumilus. Its description in RNAcentral is "bacterial SSU rRNA". It matches the Rfam family "Bacterial small subunit ribosomal RNA", at positions 671 to 1249 of the family's 1533-position model. The record is from RNAcentral. Lineage: Bacteria; Bacillati; Bacillota; Bacilli; Caryophanales; Bacillaceae.
ACGUGUAGCGGUGAAAUGCGUAGAGAUGUGGAGGAACACCAGUGGCGAAGGCGACUCUCUGGUCUGUAACUGACGCUGAGGAGCGAAAGCGUGGGGAGCGAACAGGAUUAGAUACCCUGGUAGUCCACGCCGUAAACGAUGAGUGCUAAGUGUUAGGGGGUUUCCGCCCCUUAGUGCUGCAGCUAACGCAUUAAGCACUCCGCCUGGGGAGUACGGUCGCAAGACUGAAACUCAAAGGAAUUGACGGGGGCCCGCACAAGCGGUGGAGCAUGUGGUUUAAUUCGAAGCAACGCGAAGAACCUUACCAGGUCUUGACAUCCUCUGACAACCCUAGAGAUAGGGCUUUCCCUUCGGGGACAGAGUGACAGGUGGUGCAUGGUUGUCGUCAGCUCGUGUCGUGAGAUGUUGGGUUAAGUCCCGCAACGAGCGCAACCCUUGAUCUUAGUUGCCAGCAUUCAGUUGGGCACUCUAAGGUGACUGCCGGUGACAAACCGGAGGAAGGUGGGGAUGACGUCAAAUCAUCAUGCCCCUUAUGACCUGGGCUACACACGUGCUACAAUGGACAGAACAAAGGGCUG